This 525-nucleotide ribosomal RNA is filed under the name uncultured bacterium. RNAcentral describes it as "bacterial SSU rRNA". It matches the Rfam family "Bacterial small subunit ribosomal RNA", at positions 984 to 1509 of the family's 1533-position model. The record is from RNAcentral.
ACAUCCAGAGAAUUUAGCAGAGAUGCUUUAGUGCCUUCGGGAACUCUGAGACAGGUGCUGCAUGGCUGUCGUCAGCUCGUGUUGUGAAAUGUUGGGUUAAAUCCCGCAACGAGCGCAACCCCUAUCCUUUGUUGCCAGCGAUUCGGUCGGGAACUCAAAGGAGACUGCCGGUGAUAAACCGGAGGAAGGUGGGGAUGACGUCAAGUCAUCAUGGCCCUUACGAGUAGGGCUACACACGUGCUACAAUGGCGCAUACAAAGAGAAGCGACCUCGCGAGAGCAAGCGGACCUCAUAAAGUGCGUCGUAGUCCGGAUUGGAGUCUGCAACUCGACUCCAUGAAGUCGGAAUCGCUAGUAAUCGUAGAUCAGAAUGCUACGGUGAAUACGUUCCCGGGCCUUGUACACACCGCCCGUCACACCAUGGGAGUGGGUUGCAAAAGAAGUAGAUAGCUUAACCUUCGGGAGGGCGUUUACCACUUUGUGAUUCAUGACUGGGGUGAAGUCGUAACAAGGUAGGCGUACGUGU